Non-coding RNA from Alligator sinensis (Chinese alligator), 320 nucleotides. RefSeq annotates it as small Cajal body-specific RNA 7. The transcript has a single exon. Lineage: Eukaryota; Metazoa; Chordata; Crocodylia; Alligatoridae. The record is from RefSeq and is a predicted model, not a curated record.
UGGAAAUGAUGAAAAAGAGGUAUUUGGAUGUCUGUCUGAAUGGCAUGUGUGAUUGGGGGAAUUUUAUUCUAAUUAAAUUCUUAAUUUAUACUUUUAGUACUGCGCUAUUUGGGAGGGGGGAGUGUGUGUGUGUAAGUGUACAAAAGCUUCAAAAUGGGGGCACUGAUGGAUAAAGUGCUGAUUUUGGAGUGCAUCUGAGGCAUGCUGUAUUACAGCAUUGCCAAUGAUUAAAGACCAAGAUAAGCUCACCAGAUUAGUCUAGACAUCCUAAAAAUCUCUAACAGGUUCACUGAUAUAAGUGAUCCUGUGAUCUGAUCCAA